GUAACCAUUCCCUGGCAGUUAGAAUUUUUUGAUUGUUGCUAAGGAAAUAUAGGAAUAGAGCUUCCAGAACAACGUUCCUCUAAUUAUUGUGUACUCCAUUUAUUGUUUCCAUCUGAGAUGCAAACCCAAAGAAGUCUUAACAGUAACAGCUAAAAAUUCUAACUGCCAGGGAAUGGUUACCAAAAAAUUCAAAGGCUAAUGUCCAAGGCUUUAUAUUGUCAAAAAGAAAAGGUGCCAAAAGAAAGCAAAUCUAACAAAUCUAUUUUGACCUUUGCUGGGUAUAGCGUAAGAUUCCAUAUACAUCUAUGAUUCCUGGAGGAAAAACAGGAUCACUUGCUGCCCUUACUGCAACCUUUGCCACUGCACUCACAUUGACAGGUGGAGUGAACAGAGGUCCAACAAGUGGAAGCUGCUUAAGUGGUUUUGCAUGUUGAAGAACCAUCUCCAUUGGAGAACCAAUCAUGCCUAGAGGUAACUUAAUGCUCCCUAAACUGCGAGUCCCAUAAAUAAACCCAGGCCUGAGAAUCACUCCUCCAUAAGGAAACUUAGUCAGUAACUCUGUUUCAGCAGCUCUCUUUCCAUCAUAAUAUCCUUGCAGCAAAUAAUUGGCCAAACCAAAGUCGGCAGCAGAGAUAUAAACAAAUCUUUUUACACCUUGUUCUGAAGCAGCUCUUAUUGCAUUGAUGUUUGCAGUUCCGUUAAUCUUGUACAUAUGAGAGUUUGAGCCAAAACCACCAACACAGGAAAUAAUGGCAGAAACCCCAUUAAGAGCUUCCUUCCAUGAAUCAGGUGAAAAAAGAUCUCCUUGAUGCCAGGUUAUGGCAUUAGCCCAAGAAUCACGUAUUGAAGACCUACCAGACCUGCUAAGGCUAGCAACCGAUAAACCACGAUCCAAAGCUUCUCUGCAAAUAUGAGAGCCAACAAAUCCAUUUCCACCCAACACAAGCAACUUCUCCGUUGGUGGCGGAGGGAUGUCUACUGUCUCUGCUUCCUCGACUUUGAACGGUUCAUCAACCUUACUAGAAUCAGUUGACAGAUACCUCCCAUUCCUCGAUGCAGCUAUUAUAUAUAGUCUGGAGAGGGAUGAUCUUGAAUUGAUCAACCGUGAAGCGGCCGUCGUCAUUUGAAAUAUAUGAUAUUAGCUUUCUUAAACUUGUCCGAUCAACAACAAGAGCUUAGGUUUUCCAAGGAUUGCCUAUGCCUUGAGCUCCUGCUCUCUUGAGUAUCUACCACUAGAAAAGUUUGGC
This 1247-nucleotide unclassified non-coding RNA is filed under the name Hevea brasiliensis (rubber tree). Lineage: Eukaryota; Viridiplantae; Streptophyta; Magnoliopsida; Malpighiales; Euphorbiaceae. The record is from RNAcentral.